GGAGUAGACCCGAAACCGGGCGAUCUAGCCAUGUGCAGGAUGAAGGUUGGGUAACACCAACUGGAGGUCCGAACCGGGUAAUGUUGAAAAAUUAUCGGAUGACGUGUGGCUAGGAGUGAAAGGCUAAUCAAGCCCGGAGAUAGCUGGUUCUCCCCGAAAGCUAUUUAGGUAGCGCCUCGUGAAUGAUUACUGGGGGUAGAGCACUGUUUCGGCUAGGGGGCUGUCAUGGCUUACCAAACCGAUGCAAACUCCGAAUACCGGCUAAUUGAAUCACGGGAGACACACGGCGGGUGCUAACGUCCGUCGUGGAGAGGGAAACAACCCAGACCGCCAGCUAAGGUCCCCAAGUACUAGUUAAGUGGGAAACGAUGUGGGAAGGCAUAGACAGCCAGGAGGUUGGCUUAGAAGCAGCCACCCUUUAAAGAAAGCGUAAUAGCUCACUGGUCGAGUCGGCCUGCGCGGAAGAUGUAACGGGGCUAAAACUAGUCACCGAAGCUGCGGAUGUGCGCGAAAGCGCACGUGGUAGGGGAGCGUUCUGUAGGCUGAUGAAGGUGCAUUGAGAAGUGUGCUGGAGGUAUCAGAAGUGCGAAUGCUGACAUGAGUAACGAUAAUGUGGGUGAAAAGCCCACACGCCGGAAGUCCCAGGUUUCCUGCACGACGUUAAUCGGAGCAGGGUGAGUCGGCCCCUAAGGCGAGGCUGAAGAGCGUAGUCGAUGGGAACCAGGUUAAUAUUCCUGGACUUUUUAUAAGUGGUGAAGUGGGGACGAAGAAGGCUAGGUGAGCCAGGCGUUGGUUGUCCUGGUACUUGCAUGUAGGGGGGAAGACUUGGCAAAUCCGGUUUUCCAUAACUCUGAGGUGCGAAGUGGUUCUGACCUUUUGGUACAGAGAAGUCAUUGAUGCCCGGCUUCCAGGAAAAGCUGCUAGCCAUAACUUAUAGAGAACCGUACCGCAAACCGACACAGGUGGACAGGUAGAGAAUACUAAGGCGCUUGAGAGAACUCGGGUGAAGGAACUAGGCAAAAUGGUACCGUAACUUCGGGAGAAGGUACGCCCUU
This 1055-nucleotide ribosomal RNA is filed under the name Legionella pneumophila str. Leg01/53. RNAcentral's name for it is "bacterial LSU rRNA". It matches the Rfam family "Bacterial large subunit ribosomal RNA", at positions 706 to 1755 of the family's 2925-position model. The record is from RNAcentral. Lineage: Bacteria; Pseudomonadati; Pseudomonadota; Gammaproteobacteria; Legionellales; Legionellaceae.